Molecule: ribosomal RNA, 1016 nt
Filed under: Nesterenkonia lacusekhoensis
Lineage: Bacteria; Bacillati; Actinomycetota; Actinomycetes; Micrococcales; Micrococcaceae
Description: bacterial SSU rRNA
Rfam family: Bacterial small subunit ribosomal RNA
Source: RNAcentral
ACCAUGCAAGUCGAACGAUGAAGCCCGGUGCUUGCACCGGGUGGAUUAGUGGCGAACGGGUGAGUAUCACGUGAGUAACCUGCCCUUGACUCUGGGAUAAGCCUGGGAAACUGGGUCUAAUACCGGAUACGACCAGUCACCGCAUGGUGUGCUGGUGGAAAGCUUUAGCGGUUUUGGAUGGACUCGCGGCCUAUCAGCUAGACGGUGAGGUAAUGGCUCACCGUGGCGAUGACGGGUAGCCGGCCUGAGAGGGUGACCGGCCACACUGGGACUGAGACACGGCCCAGACUCCUACGGGAGGCAGCAGUGGGGAAUAUUGCACAAUGGGCGAAAGCCUGAUGCAGCGACGCCGCGUGUGGGAUGACGGCCUUCGGGUUGUAAACCACUUUCAGCAGGGAAGAAGCUUUUUGUGACGGUACCUGCAGAAGAAGCGCCGGCUAACUACGUGCCAGCAGCCGCGGUAAUACGUAGGGCGCGAGCGUUAUCCGGAAUUAUUGGGCGUAAAGAGCUCGUAGGCGGUUUGUCGCGUCUGCUGUGAAAGCCCGGGGCUUAACCCCGGGUGUGCAGUGGGUACGGGCAGGCUAGAGUGCAGUAGGGGAGACUGGAAUUCCUGGUGUAGCGGUGAAAUGCGCAGAUAUCAGGAGGAACACCGAUGGCGAAGGCAGGUCUCUGGGCUGUUACUGACGCUGAGGAGCGAAAGCAUGGGGAGCGAACAGGAUUAGAUACCCUGGUAGUCCAUGCCGUAAACGUUGGGCACUAGGUGUGGGGGACAUUCCACGUUUUCCGCGCCGUAGCUAACGCAUUAAGUGCCCCGCCUGGGGAGUACGGCCGCAAGGCUAAAACUCAAAGGAAUUGACGGGGGCCCGCACAAGCGGCGGAGCAUGCGGAUUAAUUCGAUGCAACGCGAAGAACCUUACCAAGGCUUGACAUACACCGGACCGCCCUAGAGAUAGGGUUUCCCUUCGGGGCUGGUGUACAGGUGGUGCAUGGGUUGUCGUCAGCUCGUGUCGUGAGAU